Non-coding RNA from Taeniopygia guttata (zebra finch), 527 nucleotides. The record is from RefSeq and is a predicted model, not a curated record. NCBI's taxonomy places the organism in Eukaryota, Metazoa, Chordata, Aves, Passeriformes, Estrildidae.
UUUCAGAUGGACAAAAUGGCCGCCAAUGUGAUCCUUGUCUCUCAUUGGCUGAUUCCAGAUGGACAAAAUGGCCGCCGAGGUGAUCCUUGUCUCUCAUUGGCUGAUUCCAGAUGGACAAAAUGGCCGCCAAUGUGAUCCUUGUCUCCCAUUGGUUGAUUCCAGAUGGACAAAAUGGCCGCCAAUGUGAUCCUUGUCUCUCAUUGGAUAAUCUCACCCAAUCAAGAUGGCCGCCAAUGUGAUCCUUGUCUCUCAUUGGCUGAUCUCAGCCAAUCAAGAUGGCCGCCAAUGUGAUCCUUGUCUCUCAUUGGUUGAGCCUAACCAAUCAAGAUGGCCGCCAAUGUGAUCCUUGUCUCUCAUUGGCUGAUUCCAGAUGGACAAAAUGGCUGCCAAGGGAUCCUUGUCUCUCAUUGGUUGAUCUCACCCAAUCAAGAUGGCCGCCAAUGUGAUCCUUGUCUCUCAUUGGCUACUCGCAGACAAGACAAAAUGGCCACCAUCGUCUCUCAUUGGCUGACUCUGUCCAGCCAAAA